Grus americana (Whooping crane) is the source of this 849-nucleotide long non-coding RNA. RefSeq lists it as uncharacterized. The transcript has 6 exons. The record is from RefSeq and is a predicted model, not a curated record. NCBI's taxonomy places the organism in Eukaryota, Metazoa, Chordata, Aves, Gruiformes, Gruidae.
UGUCUCUGCCACAAACUUCUCCUUACCUGGGAGCCAGUUAAGCACUGGCUGCAGACAGGGGAAAGGUGCCCCUGACUGCACUUAGUCCCUGAUGAGUGUGCACAGCAGCUGAUAAUCACCAGUUUUUCUCCCCCAAUGAAUUUGUGCAAAAGAAGACCUCCUGCAUCUACUUCCCAUCAUCACAAAAGAACGUUUAUAAUGGGCACCUCUUAAUUGUUCAAGACCAUCAAUUUACUCAGCUGGGACACACCAUGGAUUCUAGGCAGACCACCUCACUUCAGGAGGAAUGUAGUCCUGAAGAAGAAGAGCCAAGAGAAACUAUGCAUCAGGAUCAACUGUCUUACUGCUUUUAUAUUUGCCAGAGAGCCCUGUACGGAGACAACUGGAAGAGGAAGGGUUCAAAUACCCAAGGAGCAGUGGCAGCAGCAGCAGGUAUAUACUAAGAAUACCUCUGGAAGAGAGAGGAAGAGAAGCUAUCAAAUGGAUCCCAAGAAUGUGGUCGUUCUGACCCAGCUCAUUCAGACUUACUUAUCUCACAAAAAAAGCAUAGCCGGAAUACACCAGCUGUACAGAAGAAGAUAAAUAGUUCAGAUGUCUGUUUGGAACCACUGUGACCUCAGCAAAGCUGGAAGAAAAACUACUUUUGAAGGAGCAACAGUGAUAGUCAGCUCAGCAGCACAACUCCUGUGAACUGAACUCUGCCAGGUUCCCUCGAAUGUGAGGGUGCAGUGUUGGUCAUCACAAGUUGUUGCAGUGGAACCAGACAACCCAAACCAAAGCAAAGACCACCAAGAAGCCCACAGUGGAGCAGGCUUCCUGGAUGGCAGUCACCUACCUUCAGUUGGUAAG